UGAUGGGUGCUGGCACUGCAGGUGGUAGCUUAAUGUGCUAUAUGCCACAGUGCUAGUCCCCAAAGACAUCUUUUUAAUGUAGUUUAAAUCACAUCAUUUUAAACCAAGAACCCUGUCAAUCCCCUGCUGGCCUCUGUGUCCAGAAUGGACACACACAGUACCUACCUGAGAGCUUUCAGACUCUAGACUUGGCUUGGAUGGGGAUGGUCUGGACUGGUCUUUGCUCCAGGAUGGCUUCUGUUACUUGACCAAAAAUUGUUAAGCGAAGGUUCUUGAGAAAAUGUGACAAGGAUUUAACAGCUUCCUCAGAGCCUUAAGACUGUUUCAGGUUGGAGUAGCAGAGCCUUGAUUUUAAAUUAUUCAAGGCUCAUGAUUUGGGAUUUUUGUCAGUUUUUGUUGUCAGCAGAGAGCAAAUCCUUUGGCAAAGUUAUAUUGCCUUCCAUCUUUGUAGAAUUAACAUUGGCUUGAGUCGCAUUUCUCUUGUAAGACUUUGCUGAAAGUGACAAGAAGCAGCUAGUGUAUUCUCACCAUUUUCUCUGAUACCUUGUCCUCAGUCUCAUUGCCCAAACACCAGUUACCUCAGUUAAGUGAACCACACCAUUUUAAGUCCUUUAGCACUUUCUGUACCUUUCUUCUAGUUAUCUAAUUUUGUACAAGUCAAGAUUCUUGGUUGGAGGUAACAGGAUCUUCUUAAAGAAGAUCCUUAUGUUUCCUUAAACAGAAAGAGGUUGGUUAAGGAAUCUAGGUAGGAUGGGGAAAAAUAGACACAGGCUGAGCUUCUAGGAGCUGCAUUGUAAGAGUGAACUGCCUGAGGAAGUGCUGUCUCUGAAUCGACCAAGAAGCUGCCUGCCAGAGGAAGACAUGAACAGUUGCCAGCUCCAGAACUGCAGCACCUCUGCCACGCUUGUGCAACUCAAGAUGGAUACCUCAUGUCCUGUCUCUUUCCUGAUGCAUCUCGGCACUGAGUGAAGUCUCAACUAUGUGAUAAAUCAAGAAAACGUUGGAACGGAGCCAGAAUGAGGAUGGCAUUCAUCAUCUUUGUGCAGAAGUG
Long non-coding RNA from Ochotona curzoniae (black-lipped pika), 1051 nucleotides. RefSeq lists it as uncharacterized. NCBI's taxonomy places the organism in Eukaryota, Metazoa, Chordata, Mammalia, Lagomorpha, Ochotonidae. The record is from RefSeq and is a predicted model, not a curated record. The transcript has 2 exons.